Non-coding RNA from Cajanus cajan (pigeon pea), 1135 nucleotides. The record is from RefSeq and is a predicted model, not a curated record. NCBI's taxonomy places the organism in Eukaryota, Viridiplantae, Streptophyta, Magnoliopsida, Fabales, Fabaceae.
GAAAUAUUUUUGUAGGAAAAGUAGGGUGGAGGCUAGAUUGAGAGGUGCUCCAUCCCGUUUGAAUUUUUUAGUUUGGAAUGAGACUCUUCUAUUGCAUUUUUAUUUACUUAUUUUUCUUUUUUUAUUUCUUUUUUAUUUUCUUCCAUCGUUCCUUAACUCCCACAAAGUUUGAAAGUCCUAACUAGAGGUGUGUCCUAGACUCCUAAUACUGCCACUUUUAGAUUGGAAGCUGACCUACGUAAGGAGUAUCUAUAGAUUCUUGAACACUAAGAAUUCUUGUGGUUUCAAAAGUUCAGGGAGCUGAGUGAAAUUUAGAGAUCUCAAUAACAGGUGCUGGUGUUCUUACUGCACCAGUUACUAAAGAGGAAGUCAGAACUGCUAUCAUGGGAAUGAUAUCCUAUAAAGCUCCUUUUCAGAUGGUUUCAACCUUUUUAUUAUUAAAGUAUUGGGAUAUUGUUGAUACCGACAUGGGGAGGAAUUGAGACCAACGAACCUCUGAAAUGUGGUGUACAAGAUCAUUGCUAACGUUGGUGGACAUGAUGUUGGUAGAUUGCAUAAGUUAAUGGUUAGCAAACGUGAAAGCUUGGAAUAUAAAUGAUUGGGAACAUCUUCAAGCAGUUUGUUAAGAAGCAGGUAUAAUGUUAUCCAUGCAUGCAAUUCAAUGAUAAGAAGCAGGUAUAAUGUUAUCCAUGCAAUUCAAAAUGAGCAAGGCGACUGGAGUGAUGAUCUAGACCUUUCAGAGGAGGAGAUUUCUCUUUUUCUUCAAGAACCUAUAUCUGGAUAUGAGGGAUGCUCUAACCUUCUCUUUAGUUAGCCACUUUCCCUGUCUGGAUGAGACAACAAAGAGAAGUUUUACGUAGGAUAUAUCUAAUUCGGAGAUAAAUCAAGCUCUUUUCAAAAUGUGCAGCUACAAGACUAUGAGAACAUGGUUUUCAACUUGGGCAAUUUCUCCCUGCACCCUUCCAAUUGCCCCAUACAGCCAUCAUAUUUUAAAAAUUCUUAAGCUAUCCUUCCCUCUCUCUUCUCUGCUCACUUAUUCUUUUCACACUUAUCACUUAUAGUCUUCGAAACACAUUCUGGAUGUGUUUUUAUCUCUCUAGAAUAGGUAUUUCGUGCUGUUAGAUAUGUACUCAAU